This 492-nucleotide ribosomal RNA is filed under the name uncultured bacterium. Its description in RNAcentral is "partial 16S ribosomal RNA". It matches the Rfam family "Bacterial small subunit ribosomal RNA", at positions 29 to 507 of the family's 1533-position model. The record is from RNAcentral.
AGUGAACGCUGGCGGUAGGCCUAACACAUGCAAGUCGAACGGCAGCACAGUAAGAGCUUGCUCUUACGGGUGGCGAGUGGCGGACGGGUGAGGAAUACAUCGGAAUCUACUUUUUCGUGGGGGAUAACGUAGGGAAACUUACGCUAAUACCGCAUACGACCUACGGGUGAAAGCAGGGGAUCUUCGGACCUUGCGCGAUUGAACGAGCCGAUGUCGGAUUAGCUAGUUGGCGGGGUAAAGGCCCACCAAGGCGACGAUCCGUAGCUGGUCUGAGAGGAUGAUCAGCCACACUGGAACUGAGACACGGUCCAGACUCCUACGGGAGGCAGCAGUGGGGAAUAUUGGACAAUGGGCGCAAGCCUGAUCCAGCCAUACCGCGUGGGUGAAGAAGGCCUUCGGGUUGUAAAGCCCUUUCGUUGGGAAAGAAAAGCAGCAGGUUAAUACCCCGCUGUUCUGACGGUACCCAAAGAAUAAGCACCGGCUAACUUCGUG